AGGAAAGGAUUUUGAAGUCGUCAAUAGAAGCAGCGUGGCCUGUGGAUGUGAGAAAAUGCUGGACUGGGGAGGAUUUUUACAUCCACAGGCCACGCUGCUUCUAUUGACGACUUCGAAAUCCUCUCCUC
Paramuricea clavata is the source of this 128-nucleotide non-coding RNA. NCBI's taxonomy places the organism in Eukaryota, Metazoa, Cnidaria, Anthozoa, Malacalcyonacea, Plexauridae. The record is from the annotation of a GenBank genome assembly.